UACGGAAGGGGCAAGCGUUGUUCGGAUUUACUGGGCGUAAAGGGCGCGCAGGCGGCUCAUUUUGUCAGGCGUGAAAGCCCCGGGCUUAACCUGGGAACUGCGUUUGAUACGGAUGGGCUAGAGUUCGGGAGAGGAGAGUGGAAUUCCCGGUGUAGCAGUGAAAUGCGUAGAGAUCGGGAGGAACAUCAGUUGCGAAGGCGGCUCUCUGGACCAGCACUGACACUGAGGCACGAAAGCGUGGGGAGCAAACAGG
This 253-nucleotide ribosomal RNA is filed under the name uncultured prokaryote. Its description in RNAcentral is "partial 16S ribosomal RNA". It matches the Rfam family "Bacterial small subunit ribosomal RNA", at positions 524 to 776 of the family's 1533-position model. The record is from RNAcentral.